AAAGGUGAAAAGCACCCCGGGAGGGGAGUGAAAAAGAACCUGAAACCCUGUGCCUACAAGCACCUAGAGCACGUCAAUGUGUGAUAGGGUACUUUUUGUAGAACGGUCCGGCGAGCGAUUGUAUGCAGCAAGGUUAAGGACUUAAGGUCUGGAGCCGAAGCGAAAGCGAGUUUGAAAAGGGCGUUAAGUUGCAUAUAAUGGGCCCGAAACCGGGUGACCUACCCAUGGUCAGGUUGAAGUGGAAGUAAAAUUCCAUGGAGGACCGAACCGACCUCCGUUGAAAAGGCGGCGGAUGAACUGUGGGUAGCGGAGAAAUUCCAAUCGAACCCGGAGAUAGCUGGUUCUCCCCGAAAUAGUUUUAGGACUAGCCUCAAGUUAGAUACCUGGAGGUAAAGCACUGAAUAGCCUAGCGGCCGAGAGGUUAGCGAAGCUUAUCAAACUCAGAAUGCCAGAGUAUUGAUGCUUGGGAGUCAGACAGUGUCAGAUAAAUGUCAUUGUCAAAAGGGAAACAGCCCAGAUCUACAGCUAAGGUCCCAAAUUGUAUCUAAGUGGAAAACGAUGUGAAGAUACGCAGACAACCAGGAUGUUGGCUCAGAAGCAGCCACUCAUUCAAAGAGUGCGUAAUAGCUCACUGGUCGAGCGUCUUUGCGCGGAGAAUUUAACGGGGCUAAACCUGACACCGAAGCUUAGGCAAUCCAGUAAUGGAUUGGGUAGGGGAGCGUUGUAUACGCGGAGAAACAGUAGCGUAAGCGGCUGUGGAGUGUAUAGAAGUGAGAAUGCCGGAAUGAGUAGCGCGAAUGCAGUGAGAAUCUGCAUGGCCGAAAGCCUCAGGUUUUUGGAGGAAGGUUCGUCCGCUCCAAGUUAGUCGGGAGCUAAGGUGAGGCCGGAAGGCGUAGCCGAUGCACAGACGGUAGAGAUUCCGUCACCACCAAAAGAGUUAAGCACAGGGACACAUUUGAAGUCUCAGAGCCGGGUGUUGGUUCCGGUAGAGAUCGAGGGAAGUUAGUACCGAAGUCUGAGAUGGAAGAUGGCGAGAAAAGCUGUGUGUAUUUCUGAGGUGCCCGUACCGCAAACCGACACAGGUAGGUAGGAAGAAGAUUCUAAGGCCAACGGGAGAAGGGUUGUUAAGGAACUCGGCAAAUUGACCCCGUAACUUCGGGAGAAGGGGUGCUCCAGAGAUGGAGCCGCAGAGAAUCGGCCCAAGCAACUGUUUACCAAAAACACAGGUUUGUGCUAAAUCGAAAGAUGACGUAUACGAGCUGACGCCUGCCCGGUGCUGGAAGGUUAAGAGGAGAUGUGCAAGCAUUGAAUCGAAGCCCCAGUGAACGGCGGCCGUAACUAUAACGGUCCUAAGGUAGCGAAAUUCCUUGUCAGGUAAGUUCUGACCCGCACGAAUGGCGUAACGACUUGGGCGCUGUCUCAACAGCCCACCCGGCGAAAUUGUAGUACUGGUGAAGAUGCCAGUUACCCGCAACUAGACGGAAAGACCCCAUGGAGCUUUACUGUAGCUUAAUACUGGAAAUCGGUAAAUCAUGUACAGGAUAGGUGGGAGACUUGGAAGCCAGGGCGUCAGCUUUGGUGGAGUCACCCUUGGGAUACCACCCUUGAUUUGCUGGUUUUCUAACCUGCGGCCGUGAAUCCGGUCGGGGGACACUGUUAGGUGGGCAGUUUGACUGGGGCGGUCGCCUCCUAAAAGGUAACGGAGGCG
This 1708-nucleotide ribosomal RNA is filed under the name human gut metagenome. Its description in RNAcentral is "bacterial LSU rRNA". It matches the Rfam family "Bacterial large subunit ribosomal RNA", at positions 510 to 2308 of the family's 2925-position model. The record is from RNAcentral.